RNAcentral lists this transfer RNA (88 nucleotides) under Fimbriimonadaceae bacterium. Its description in RNAcentral is "tRNA-Ser". It matches the Rfam family "tRNA". From Rfam's summary of the family: Transfer RNA (tRNA) molecules are approximately 80 nucleotides in length. Their secondary structure includes four short double-helical elements and three loops (D, anti-codon, and T loops). The record is from RNAcentral. Lineage: Bacteria; Bacillati; Armatimonadota; Fimbriimonadia; Fimbriimonadales; Fimbriimonadaceae.
GGAGAGAUGGCGGAGUGGUCGAUCGCGUCAGUCUUGAAAACUGAAAAACAGCAAUGUUUCAGGGGUUCGAAUCCCCUUCUCUCCUCCA